GUGAUCUCGGAAACGCGAGGGGAGGCUUCGUUUGAGUGGGGAAGCAUUUGGAGACCGUUCGGAAAGGAAAAGAUCCGGUACCGUGAGCUGGAGCACGCGUGAUCGGCUUUCAGGUAGGCUAUGGCUUUCUCUCGUGAACAGUACCCGGUUAGAGUCCGUGGUCCAGCUUACUUAUGUCCAGGCUUAGCUACAGUACCCGGUUAGAGUCCGUGGUCCAGCUUACUUAUGUCCAGGCUUAGCUACAGUACCCGGUUAGAGUCCGUGGUCCAGCUUACUUAUGUCCAGGCUUAGCUACAGUACCCGGUUAGAGUCCGUGGUCCAGCUUACUUAUGUCCAGGCUUAGCUACAGUACCCGGUUAGAGUCCGUGGUCCAGCUUACUUAUGUCCAGGCUUAGCUACAGUACCCGGUUAGAGUCCGUGGUCCAGCUUACUUAUGUCCAGGCUUAGCUACAGUACCCGGUUAGAGUCCGUGGUCCAGCUUACUUAUGUCCAGGCUUAGCUACAGUACCCGGUUAGAGUCCGUGGUCCAGCUUACUUAUGUCCAGGCUUAGCUACAGUACCCGGUUAGAGUCCGUGGUCCAGCUUACUUAUGUCCAGGCUUAGCUACAGUACCCGGUUAGAGUCCGUGGUCCAGCUUACUUAUGUCCAGGCUUAGCUACAGUACCCGGUUAGAGUCCGUGGUCCAGCUUACCUGUGAUCUGGUUUUGGCUACAGUACCCUGUUCGAGUCCGUGGUCCAGCCCACCCGUGCCCGACCUUUGGCUACAGCACCCGGUUCGAGUCCGUGGUCCAGCUUGCACGUGGUGUAUUCCCAAUUCCUCACUAAAGCUUCAGUUUAGUCUUGAUUACUCUCAUCUGUAGGUUGAGGUUUUGGAGGUUGAAGAGAUUCCGGUUAAAGUCCGGGACGUAAUGAGAUCUUGGAAUAUGAUUGGGAAUGGUUCAGUUAAAAGUCCGGAAAUUGGUAAUAUUGUGAUAGACCUUCUAGCUCCAUUAUUUUACUUCAACUGCCGGUCCAUCUGCCGGGCUUAUGGGGGUCCGUGCAGGUGGUUUCUUUUAUUGUGCACGAGCGUACCCGUCGGGUUUAUGGGAGCCCGGCGGAGUUAGUUAGAUUGCUUGUCUUUGUUGCCUGUACGCUCGUGUACAUACCCCCUAUUUACUACUCUUUGCACUUGAUGUGACCCUUUAUUUGCAUUUCAGUUUACUUUUGCUUAUCUUGCUCAGUCGGCCGAUGAUGCCUACUGGGUACCUGUUGUUUUGGUACUCAUGCUACGCUCUGCAUCUAUUUUGUGAUGCAGGUCCGAGCACUAGUAGCCAGCGUUGAUCUAGCUUGGAGUAGACUUAUCCGGAGACGGGGGUGAGCACACGGCGUUUUGUACUAUUUCAGUCUCCAUCUGUAUAUAUAGACUUGUCUUUUUCCUUUCGAGACAGUCCAGUCUCUGUUGUCCGGUUUUAGGACUUGUACUCAUUUUGUAGUAGCUCUGUACUAGUGACUUCCAGGUUCUGGGAGGGAUCUUUAUUUGUAAAUAUGUUUUUGGUUUGCGUCCGCCUGUUUAUAUUGUUAUUUGCCUACUCUUGUUUAAUUUCUACCCUCAGACCCGUUACUUGUUGUUCCGGGUUACGAGUUGGCUUACCUGCUGGUGGGUUAUAGUAGGUGCCAUCAUGACUCGAUAAAUCGGGUCGUGACAAAAAUGAUACCAGAUAUUUUCCAUUGUUAAAUCAUAUGGCAACUUGGUUUCAAUGAUAAUGAAGCAGAGAGAGGGAGAAAAGAGAAACCGUUAGUUUUUUUGACAGAGUUAGAGUUUAGGACUAAAAUGAUAACAUAUUGUAUACAUGAAGGACUAUUUCAAUCAAG
This 1851-nucleotide long non-coding RNA is filed under the name Solanum tuberosum (potato). Its description in RNAcentral is "long non-coding RNA (STUB_LNC004268)". The record is from RNAcentral. Lineage: Eukaryota; Viridiplantae; Streptophyta; Magnoliopsida; Solanales; Solanaceae.